RNAcentral lists this transfer RNA (76 nucleotides) under Tissierellia bacterium. Its description in RNAcentral is "tRNA-Arg". It matches the Rfam family "tRNA". From Rfam's summary of the family: Transfer RNA (tRNA) molecules are approximately 80 nucleotides in length. Their secondary structure includes four short double-helical elements and three loops (D, anti-codon, and T loops). Further hydrogen bonds mediate the characteristic L-shaped molecular structure. tRNAs have two regions of fundamental functional importance: the anti-codon, which is responsible for specific mRNA codon recognition, and the 3' end, to which the tRNAs corresponding amino acid is attached (by aminoacyl-tRNA synthetases). tRNAs cope with the degeneracy of the genetic code in two manners: having more than one tRNA (with a specific anti-codon) for a particular amino acid; and 'wobble' base-pairing, i.e. permitting non-standard base-pairing at the 3rd anti-codon position. Lineage: Bacteria; Bacillati; Bacillota; Tissierellia. The record is from RNAcentral.
GCACCUAUAACUCAGCGGAUAGAGUGACUGGCUUCGAACCAGUUGGACGGGGGUUCAAAUCCUCCUAGGUGCACCA